Molecule: ribosomal RNA, 492 nt
Filed under: uncultured bacterium
Lineage: Bacteria
Description: partial 16S ribosomal RNA
Rfam family: Bacterial small subunit ribosomal RNA
Source: RNAcentral
AGUGAACGCUGGCGGUAGGCCUAACACAUGCAAGUCGAACGGCAGCACAGUAAGAGCUUGCUCUUACGGGUGGCGAGUGGCGGACGGGUGAGGAAUACAUCGGAAUCUACUUUUUCGUGGGGGAUAACGUAGGGAAACUUACGCUAAUACUGCAUACGACCUACGGGUGAAAGCAGGGGAUCUUCGGACCUUGCGCGAUUGAAUGAGCCGAUAUCGGAUUAGCUAGUUGGCGGGGUAAAGGCCCACCAAGGCGACGAUCCGUAGCUGGUCUGAGAGGAUGAUCAGCCACACUGGAACUGAGACACGGUCCAGACUCCUACGGGAGGCAGCAGUGGGGAAUAUUGGACAAUGGGCGCAAGCCUGAUCCAGCCAUACCGCGUGGGUGAAGAAGGCCUUCGGGUUGUAAAGCCCUUUUGUUUGGAAAGAAAAGCAGCAGGUUAAUACCCCGCUGUUCUGACGGUACCCAAAGAAUAAGCACCGGCUAACUUCGUG